RNAcentral lists this long non-coding RNA (1958 nucleotides) under Hordeum vulgare. Its description in RNAcentral is "long non-coding RNA (HVUL_LNC018748)". The record is from RNAcentral. Lineage: Eukaryota; Viridiplantae; Streptophyta; Magnoliopsida; Poales; Poaceae.
UCCCCCACCGGCGAGCAUCCUCAGUGCCCUAUCAGUAAGCCUCUCCUCCUGAAGACCAAGGCCUCGUACCCGAGCACGCUGCUCUAACGAGCUCAUGCAGGACCCGAUGCCUCCUCCUCAAGCAUCCUUGCGCUGACGGAGACCGGCGCCGCCGUCGGAGACCAGGAGCCCCCGACUCGACCUCGAGCUGCCGCACAGACCCGUUCGACGGCCGUAGGCACCCGCGUCUCCUCCUCCCUCUCGUGUCAGGUGCAUGCACGAGCUCGACCACGGGCCCCAGGUCACGCCGGUGCCCUUGGCUCGUCAUCUCCCUCAAGCACGGUCUCUCUCUCACCCGUUCUCUCCCCUCUUCUUACAAGAACCCGUGUAGCCAUGGCCAUGGAGCCCCGCCAUCGGUGGUCUCCUCCUUGUCGGACCUGGACCUGCAGUGACCUCGUGUUCCAUUCUGGGUGGAAUUACUCGCCUUCGUCGCUGCAGAGGUAGAGCCGUCGCGCAUCCAGGCCGCCUCCUCCUCUUGGUCGGGAGGGAGACGACGCCCGCCGUCGGCAUUGACCGUGAGCACCAGCGGCGCGUGGGCCAGCCCCGACAACCAUGCCACUAUGGCCCAGCAGCGUGACCGUGCCGACCCAGUGCCCCACACGGCCCGUCUCUAGCACCCAAGGCGGCCAAGCAAGCCCAUGGUGAGCAGCUUCUCUACCUCCCUGUCGGGCUUGGCCCAAUGCCGUUUUUUGCUAUAAUUCACAUGUGCGCUAGAUAUCUAUUAGAUGCUCGCAUGUACCUGCACAGUAAUUCUAGAUUCGGCCCAUCUUGUUUUUCCUUCUCACGAAUUUAGCAAUUUUGAGUGAUUAACAUAUUUACACAAAACCCCCUAAACAAAUGCAUUUAUUAACUUGAGAACCGUGCAUCGGUUGAAAAAUGCUUAGAACUCUCUGUCGUUUCACAAUAUCCAACUCCCUCAUGUGUUUAAAAUAUAUUAACUUGUUGUUUUCAUGUAAUUUGCAUAGUGUCAUGCUAAAACAAUUUUCAUCAUAACUAAUUAACGUAGCUCCGAUUAAAAUGAUCCACACAUGUAAGUUAACUAGAAAAAUGUGUAGAACAACAUGGCGACAUUUAUUUUGCUGUUUAACAACUCUAAAGUUAUGUAUAGGCAGAACAGUACCGAAAUCUUAUUUGCAUCUAGGGACUUUUUGGAAUUGUUAUUCGUUGUACCGACCUCAUUUAAACUUGCCUAGAAUUUUAUGUAGUUUCAUAAUAACUUGUUGCAUCCAUGAUUUACAUUCUUGUGGCUAAGAGUUGCAUACACUUUGCAUUCAUAGCAUAUUAUCUUGUGAUGGUCAUAUCUUUUAGACCAUAGCUCCGUUUUAAAUGAUAUAUAUAUGUAAACCGACUAGAAUGACGUGUAGAAUCACAUGCUCCACUUUAUUCUACUGUUUAAUAAAUAUAAAACAUGUUGUACGCAGAUCGGGUCCAAUUUCAAAAUUAACAUACGGGGUCAUUUCGGAAAUGUUAUAUGUUGCUUCCGACCUCAUUUAACAUGCCUAGGUAGUGUAGUUUAUUUAAGUUUCACCUCUUGGCAUGUUUAACAACAUUUAAUAUUGUCGUGCACCUAAACCGGAGUAAACUAAGUAAUUCAAAUGUGAAGUUUCGUGUAACGCCCAAGAUGCGGUCCUACCGAUAUUUUGGCGCGAGGGCCUCGACAGGGAUAGAAAUGCAUCUCGUUGUUUCACAAGAAUGGAUAUCGUUAUAACUACAUAUACUGAAAAGAUGAGUAUAAGGAGUUGUCUUACACUCGCCACAAGCUACAUUAGAGUCACAUUAAUACACCAACAUAAUCAAUCAUCAUGAAGAAGAGUAGGGUCCGACUACGGGCGAAAAUAGAUGAUAAAACAACGACGUCCAUCCUUGCUAUUCCUAGGCUGCCAGCCUGGAACCCAUCCUAGAUCGACGAAGAAGAAGAA